AGAGUUUGAUCCUGGCUCAGGAUGAACGCUAGCGGCAGGCCUAAUACAUGCAAGUCGAACGGGUCGCAAGACUAGUGGCGCACGGGUGCGUAACACGUAGGUAACCUACCUGAUACUGGGGCAUAACGAUGGGAAACCAUCGCUAAUUCCGCAUAAGAUAGUAGAGGAGCAUUCUUCAGCUAUUAAAGAUUUAUUGGUAUCAGAUGGGCCUGCGGCUGAUUAGCUAGUUGGUAGUGUAACGGACUACCAAGGCAAUGAUCAGUAGGGGUUCUGAGAGGAAGAUCCCCCACACUGGCACUGAGAUACGGGCCAGACUCCUACGGGAGGCAGCAGUAGGGAAUAUUGGGCAAUGGCGGAAACGCUGACCCAGCCAUGCCGCGUGCAGGAAGAAGGCGCUCAGCGUUGUAAACUGCUUUUGCCGGGGAAGAAUGGGGGUUACGCGUAACCCACUCGACGGUACCUGGUGAAUAAGCACCGGCUAACUCCGUGCCAGCAGCCGCGGUAAUACGGAGGGUGCAAGCGUUGUCCGGAUUUAUUGGGUUUAAAGGGUGCGUAGGUGGCUUGUUAAGUCUGGGGUGAAAGGCAGUGGCUCAACCACAUGCAGGGCCCUGGAUACUGGCAGGCUGGAGUGUAGGUGAGGCCGGUGGAACGGGUGGUGUAGCGGUGAAAUGCAUAGAUACCAUCCAGAACACCGAUUGCGGAGGCAGCCGGCUAACGCGCAACUGACACUGAGGCACGAAAGCGUGGGGAGCAAACAGGAUUAGAUACCCCCGUAGUCC
Molecule: ribosomal RNA, 779 nt
Filed under: uncultured Sphingobacteriales bacterium
Lineage: Bacteria; Pseudomonadati; Bacteroidota; Sphingobacteriia; Sphingobacteriales
Description: bacterial SSU rRNA
Rfam family: Bacterial small subunit ribosomal RNA
Source: RNAcentral